GUCUAAGUAGCUUAACAAA
RNAcentral lists this transfer RNA (19 nucleotides) under Aspronema dorsivittatum (Paraguay mabuya). RNAcentral describes it as "partial tRNA-Thr". The record is from RNAcentral. Lineage: Eukaryota; Metazoa; Chordata; Lepidosauria; Squamata; Scincidae.